Molecule: small nuclear RNA, 19 nt
Filed under: Arabidopsis thaliana (thale cress)
Lineage: Eukaryota; Viridiplantae; Streptophyta; Magnoliopsida; Brassicales; Brassicaceae
Description: snRNA_17680
Source: RNAcentral
GGGUUAGUCGAUCCUAAGA